UUAGGAAUAUUCGUCAAUGGGGGAAACCCUGAACGAGCAAUGCCGCGUGAGUGAUGACGGUCCUCUGGAUUGUAAAACUCUGUUGUUUAGGAAAAAUUGUAUAAACAGGAAAUGGUUUAUGCUUGAUGGUACUAUUCAAGAAAGCCACGGCUAACUACGUGCCAGCAGCCGCGGUAAUACGUAGGUGGCGAGCGUUAUCCGGAUUUAUUGGGCGUAAAGCGUCCGCAGACGGCUUGUUAAGUCUAGAAUCAAAGCCCGGAGCUUAACUUCGGUUCGUUCUAGAAACUGGCAGGCUUGAGUAUAGUAGAGGCAAGUGGAAUUUCUAGUGUAGCGGUAGAAUGCGUAGAUAUUAGAAGGAACACCAGUGGCGAAGGCGACUUGCUGGGCUAUUACUGACGUUCAUGGACGAAAGCGUGGGGAGCAAAUAGG
This 429-nucleotide ribosomal RNA is filed under the name uncultured bacterium. RNAcentral describes it as "bacterial SSU rRNA". It matches the Rfam family "Bacterial small subunit ribosomal RNA", at positions 355 to 776 of the family's 1533-position model. The record is from RNAcentral.